RNAcentral lists this ribosomal RNA (195 nucleotides) under Candidatus Margulisiibacteriota bacterium. RNAcentral describes it as "partial 23S ribosomal RNA". It matches the Rfam family "Bacterial large subunit ribosomal RNA", at positions 2728 to 2925 of the family's 2925-position model. Lineage: Bacteria; Bacillati; Candidatus Margulisiibacteriota. The record is from RNAcentral.
GCCAAGUGCAAACGCCGGGUAGCUACGUGUGGAAGGGAUAACCGCUGAAAGCAUAUAAGCGGGAAGCCCACUUCAAGAUGAGAUUUCCCAUCGCAAGAGUAAGGCCUCUGGAAGACUACCAGUUUGAUAGGUUGGAGGUGUAAGCACAGCAAUGUGUUCAGCUGACCAAUACUAAUCGGCCGAGGUCUUAACCUA